RNAcentral lists this long non-coding RNA (638 nucleotides) under Ananas comosus (pineapple). Its description in RNAcentral is "long non-coding RNA (ACOM_LNC037314)". The record is from RNAcentral. Lineage: Eukaryota; Viridiplantae; Streptophyta; Magnoliopsida; Poales; Bromeliaceae.
AAUAAUAACACUUCUAAAAUAUGUCGGCUUAUUGGUGCCAACUAUUAAUUCUAAAAACUCGAGCUACUAGAAACUUAAAGCGUAUAGACACAACGUCCAUAAAUUUUGAUUGUGAACUCGUCCUAACCAAUCUCACGCCAUUUUGAACAUGACCCCACCCAACUUGACAUCCUGCCAGAGGGUACGAUGCUAAACAUGAAUCCCAAAAACUCGAGCUAUUGGAAAGUUAAAGCAUAAAGAGAUAGCGUUCAUGGUUUUUAAUUGUGACUCGGCCCAAUCAGCCUCACGUCAUUCUGAACAUGACUCGAUUCAACCUGGCCUCCUGCUAUAUGGAGGAUCUUGGCCAUUCGGGAAUCGAAUCUGUAACCUCCGAUUUUAAUACCACUUGUUAGAUCGCUGACGCUAACUAUUAAUUCAAAAAGUUUGAAUUAUUAAAAAUACGCAAUCAAUUUACUUAAAGCAUCUAGACACAAUGUCCAGAAAACUUGAUUGUGAUUCAGUCUCACCAACCUCACAACAUUUCGAAUAUAAUUCAAUUCAAUUCGAUCUCUCGUAAUUUCAAAUAUGACUGGAUCCAAUCCGACCUCCUGCAGUAUUAUAGGAUACUGAAUAAUUUUAAGUCAACACAAUACAUAUCU